RNAcentral lists this transfer RNA (74 nucleotides) under bacterium. RNAcentral describes it as "tRNA-Pro". It matches the Rfam family "tRNA". From Rfam's summary of the family: Transfer RNA (tRNA) molecules are approximately 80 nucleotides in length. Their secondary structure includes four short double-helical elements and three loops (D, anti-codon, and T loops). Further hydrogen bonds mediate the characteristic L-shaped molecular structure. tRNAs have two regions of fundamental functional importance: the anti-codon, which is responsible for specific mRNA codon recognition, and the 3' end, to which the tRNAs corresponding amino acid is attached (by aminoacyl-tRNA synthetases). tRNAs cope with the degeneracy of the genetic code in two manners: having more than one tRNA (with a specific anti-codon) for a particular amino acid; and 'wobble' base-pairing, i.e. permitting non-standard base-pairing at the 3rd anti-codon position. The record is from RNAcentral.
CCGAGUAUGGCUCAGUUUGGUAGAGUACGCCGUUUGGGGCGGUGGGGUCGUAGGUUCAAAUCCUACUACUCGGA